This 261-nucleotide ribosomal RNA is filed under the name uncultured bacterium. RNAcentral's name for it is "partial 16S ribosomal RNA". It matches the Rfam family "Bacterial small subunit ribosomal RNA", at positions 1243 to 1500 of the family's 1533-position model. The record is from RNAcentral.
AGGGCAGCCAAGUCGUGAGGCGGAGCUAAUCCCUUAAAGCCAUUCUCAGUUCGGAUUGUAGGCUGAAACUCGCCUACAUGAAGCUGGAGUUACUAGUAAUCGCAGAUCAGAAUGCUGCGGUGAACGCGUUCCCGGGUCUUGUACACACCGCCCGUCACACCACGGAAGUUGGGGGCGCCCGAAGCCACUUAGCUAACCCAUUUGGGAAGCGAGUGUCGAAGGUGAAAUCAAUAACGUGGGGUGAAGUCGUAACAAGGUAAC